AUUGAACGCUGGCGGCAUGCUUUACACAUGCAAGUCGAACGGUAACAGGUUAAGCUGACGAGUGGCGAACGGGUGAGUAAUGCAUCGGAACGCGCCCGAUCGUGGGGGAUAACGCAGCGAAAGCUGCGCUAAUACCGCAUACGAUCUGAGGAUGAAAGCGGGGGACCGUAAGGCCUCGCGCGAUCGGAGCGGCCGAUGUCAGAUUAGGUAGUUGGUGGGGUAAAGGCUCACCAAGCCAACGAUCUGUAGCUGGUCUGAGAGGACGACCAGCCACACUGGGACUGAGACACGGCCCAGACUCCUACGGGAGGCAGCAGUGGGGAAUUUUGGACAAUGGGCGAAAGCCUGAUCCAGCAAUGCCGCGUGCAGGAAGAAGGCCUUCGGGUUGUAAACUGCUUUUGUACGGAGCGAAAAGGCCCUCUCUAAUACAGUGGCUCAUGACGGUACCGUAAGAAUAAGCACCGGCUAACUACGUGCCAGCCGCCGCGGUAA
Molecule: ribosomal RNA, 492 nt
Filed under: uncultured bacterium
Lineage: Bacteria
Description: partial 16S ribosomal RNA
Rfam family: Bacterial small subunit ribosomal RNA
Source: RNAcentral